RNAcentral lists this ribosomal RNA (497 nucleotides) under uncultured bacterium. Its description in RNAcentral is "partial 16S ribosomal RNA". It matches the Rfam family "Bacterial small subunit ribosomal RNA", at positions 28 to 507 of the family's 1533-position model. The record is from RNAcentral.
GAUGAACGCUGGUGGCGUGCCUAAUACAUGCAAGUCGAGCGAACGGACGAGAAGCUUGCUUCUCUGAUGUUAGCGGCGGACGGGUGAGUAACACGUGGAUAACCUACCUAUAAGACUGGGAUAACUUCGGGAAACCGGAGCUAAUACCGGAUAAUAUUUUGAACCGCAUGGUUCAAAAGUGAAAGACGGUCUUGCUGUCACUUAUAGAUGGAUCCGCGCUGCAUUAGCUAGUUGGUAAGGUAACGGCUUACCAAGGCAACGAUGCAUAGCCGACCUGAGAGGGUGAUCGGCCACACUGAAACUGAGACACGGUCCAGACUCCUACGGGAGGCAGCAGUAGGGAAUCUUCCGCAAUGGGCGAAAGCCUGACGGAGCAACGCCGCGUGAGUGAUGAAGGUCUUCGGAUCGUAAAACUCUGUUAUUAGGGAAGAACAUAUGUGUAAGUAACUGUGCACAUCUUGACGGUACCUAAUCAGAAAGCCACGGCUAACUACGUG